AGGGCACCACCAGGAGUGGAGCCUGCGGCUUAAUUUGACUCAACACGGGAAACCUCACCCGGCCCGGACACGGACAGGAUUGACAGAUCGAUAGCUCUUUCUCGAUUCCGUGGGUGGUGGUGCAUGGCCGUUCUUAGUUGGUGGAGCGAUUUGUCUGGUUAAUUCCGAUAACGAACGAGACUCUGGCAUGCUAACUAGUUACGCGACCCCCCGAGCGGUCGGCGUCCCCCAACUUCUUAGAGGGACAAGUGGCGUUCAGCCACCCGAGAUUGAGCAAUAACAGGUCUGUGAUGCCCUUAGAUGUCCGGGGCUGCACGCGCGCUACACUGACUGGCUCAGCGUGUGCCUACCCUACGCCGGCAGGCGCGGGUAACCCGUUGAACCCCAUUCGUGAUGGGGAUCGGGGAUUGCAAUUAUUCCCCAUGAACGAGGAAUUCCCAGUAAGUGCGGGUCAUAAAGCUUGUGUUGAUUAAUUCCCUGCCCUUUGUACACACCGCCCGUCGCUACUCCGCCGGGUUC
Molecule: ribosomal RNA, 519 nt
Filed under: uncultured eukaryote
Lineage: Eukaryota
Description: SSU rRNA
Rfam family: Eukaryotic small subunit ribosomal RNA
Source: RNAcentral